GAUGAACGCUGGCGGCGUGCCUCAAACAUGCAAGUCGAGCGGGGCUAUGUAAUAUCGCAAGGUAGAACAUAGCCUAGCGGCGAACGGGUGAGUAACACGUGGGUAACCUGCCUGGAAGACAGGGAUAACGAUUCGAAAGGGUCGCUAAUACCUGAUAAUAUCCUUUCAUCGCAUGGUGAUAGGAAGAAAGGGGAAACCCGCUUUCAGAUGGGCCCGCGUCCCAUCAGCUAGUUGGUAAGGUAAAGGCUUACCAAGGCGACGACGGGUAGCCGGUCUGAGAGGAUGUACGGCCACACUGGGACUGAGAUACGGCCCAGACUCCUACGGGAGGCAGCAGUUGGGAAUCUUAGGCAAUGGACGAAAGUCUGACCUAGCGACGCCGCGUGAGGGAAGAAGGCCUUCGGGUUGUAAACCUCUGUCAUGGGGGAAGAAGUAAGUGACGGUACCCCAAGAGGAAGCCCCUGCUAACUACGUGCCAGCAGCCGCGGUAAAAGUCUCUAU
Molecule: ribosomal RNA, 501 nt
Filed under: uncultured bacterium
Lineage: Bacteria
Description: bacterial SSU rRNA
Rfam family: Bacterial small subunit ribosomal RNA
Source: RNAcentral